AUGGCGCUAAGGGAUGUGAUACCGGGAGGCCGGCACUCCGCAGUCGACGAGGUCAUCCUUCUCCGCGAGGCCAUGGACUACGCUGUUCACCUGUGUGCUCAGGUCGACGUGCUCCGCCGGCUCUCCGAAGCCGUGAAAAGAUCCAGCUCCAUGGCUCGGCUGGUCGCUCAACGGCGUGCAGAGAUUCCUGGUCUUAGUGUGCACUUGGAGAAAAAGAGGCAUUAUUUAGUAUGA
This 234-nucleotide ribosomal RNA is filed under the name Triticum aestivum (bread wheat). RNAcentral describes it as "partial small subunit ribosomal RNA". Lineage: Eukaryota; Viridiplantae; Streptophyta; Magnoliopsida; Poales; Poaceae. The record is from RNAcentral.